RNAcentral lists this transfer RNA (73 nucleotides) under Camelus bactrianus (Bactrian camel). It matches the Rfam family "tRNA". Rfam says of the family: Transfer RNA (tRNA) molecules are approximately 80 nucleotides in length. Their secondary structure includes four short double-helical elements and three loops (D, anti-codon, and T loops). Lineage: Eukaryota; Metazoa; Chordata; Mammalia; Artiodactyla; Camelidae. RNAcentral also lists the same sequence under 1 other name. The record is from Rfam by way of RNAcentral.
GAGGGUAUAGCUCAGUAGUAGAGCUGUAUGCUUAGUAUGCAUGAGGUUAUGGGUUCAAUCCCCAGUACCUCUA